UACGGAGGGGGCUAGCGUUGUUCGGAAUUACUGGGCGUAAAGGGCGCGUAGGCGGCCGCAGCAGUCAGGCGUGAAAGCCCCGGGCUCAACCUGGGAAUUGCGCUUGAGACGCUGUGGCUGGAGGUCGGGAGAGGAGAGCGGAAUUCCCAGUGUAGAGGUGAAAUUCGUAGAUAUUGGGAAGAACACCGGUGGCGAAGGCGGCUCUCUGGCCCGUACCUGACGCUGAGGCGCGAAAGCGUGGGGAGCAAACAGG
This 253-nucleotide unclassified non-coding RNA is filed under the name uncultured Alphaproteobacteria bacterium. RNAcentral describes it as "contains 16S-23S intergenic spacer region". It matches the Rfam family "Bacterial small subunit ribosomal RNA", at positions 524 to 776 of the family's 1533-position model. The record is from RNAcentral. Lineage: Bacteria; Pseudomonadati; Pseudomonadota; Alphaproteobacteria.